Molecule: long non-coding RNA, 4550 nt
Filed under: Homo sapiens (human)
Lineage: Eukaryota; Metazoa; Chordata; Mammalia; Primates; Hominidae
Description: HSALNT0035061
Source: RNAcentral
GUGAGUUGGGGAUUAGCCUCAACCCCUUUUGGCUUUGAUAGAAAUCCUUCUCAGAGACUCUCGGAACAGAGUGGUGGUAAAGCACCACCUGGGGCCUGUGGGAGGCCAUUUUGGACCCAGUUCUCAGUUUCCAGGGCUGUAGAUGUCCCUGGAUGGGGCCAGCGCCUGGGGUCCCCCCACCACCCCACACCAUACCAACUCUUGUUAUUAGCCAUUUAUCUAGCCACUUAGCACUUUCUCUUGGAAGUGCCACGCUUUGGGACACUUGGAGGUUCUGACACGGGAGUUCCUGAUAGUCUGCUUCUGGGUAGAGAUAAUCCUGAUGACUGAGGUGCCUGAAACCCCUCCUGCUGCUGAGCUGAGCCCCGAGGUAGGACAAACACCCCUCUGGGCAAGUACAGAAUGGAAACUGAAAUAGAAAUAAACUCCAACAAAAGCAAACUUCCUGGGGUUUUCCUCCUGCCUCCUCACACACACACCUCUGAAAGGUGUGUGUCUCAGAAGCAAUGGCCUGGACCAGGAGUCCUGACCUUGCUGUGUGACUUUGAGCAAGGCCGGGCCCUCUUUAGGCUUCGGUGAACUCAGCUGUGAGUGAGGGGUAGGAUUUGAUGAUUUCCAGCGUCUCUGCUUCCAGUGCCUUCACGUUAUGGCACCCAGGGCUUGUGACAAGAGCAGAAGGAAGCCAGGCCCAUUCCUGGUGGACUUGAAGGUGUUAGCUCUUUGUUCCCUGGAAGAGUGUGGCCACGGCAUUAGGGAGGGCUUGCCACUGCUCUGUCCACACACAAUUAGGGCUUAGGUGACUCAGAAGCGAACACACCAUGUGUUAAAAUAAGAGUUGGUGUUUCUGAGAAGGGAAGUCCAGGAGCUGACCAGGAUGGGAUUAGCUGUUGAUAAGGGGCCCAGCAUUGUUCUAGCUCUCCCCUGAGGCCCACACCACAUCCUAGAAGAGAAGCCAGGUCCCUCGGCCCUACCAGGGCUGGGACAGUCGGGGCACAGCUGCAGGAGACGCCCUGGGAGGCUGUCUGGGCUGCGGCAGGAGGAGGCAGGGCAGGGCAGUGCAGUGGUUGGGAGGUGGCCACUCUGCCUCUGUUGAGUUUUCUGGCUUUGUCACUUGACGUUGAUUCUCCCCCAGGGCCAGAGUGGGGUCAAGUGGGGACCAUGGAGGAGGACAUGAGAUCCUAACAGGCGACCUCAAACUGCUGUACAAGCCCAGCAACCCUGACCGCUCCCCAACCCACAACCAGCAAAGGUCAAGGCCAGUGCCAAGGAGUGCGGGGAGGGCGGCGUGGGGGACUCUCCAGUUUAGACUCUUCAGUCUCGAAAAACAAAGGCUGACAGGAAUGUGAGGAAACCACUGUUUACUCUGUUUUCAAGGGUGUUCCACUGAAGUGUGUCCCGAGAUGUUUCCAGAAGGAGGAUGACGGGGGUGGUGCUGAAGAGGCUCUGCCAUGGGAACCGGAGCCGGAGAUGCCGGCCAGAACUCUGGGUUCUCUGGAAGUGGUGGGAGGAAACCCGCAGGAGGGAAGAGGCCAUCUCUCCUUUAACUCCUAGGGGAACAGACCGCAGGGGCUGAGGGUGCUAGCCCUUUCUGAAGCUGAGAGGGAGCCGGAAAGGAAGGGACUCAGGGGAUCUCAUGGGAGCCAGAAGGGCCCAGACUUAGGAUCCGAAAUUGUGCCUAUGAGAGUGUCCUGUGCAAGAUCCUCUUGUUGGCAAACUCUAACCUGGGAGCAUGAGGAAGAGGACUGCGGGGAACGGUUUCCAGCCCUACGUAGACAUGGUGGUGGUGACGUGUUGACACAUGGGGGCUCCGCUUCGGACUUCGCAAUGAAUAAGGCCAGGGAACUGCAGCUGAUGGCUGGGUCAUCCGAGAGACCUUCAAUCUUUACUUUCUAUAAUGACAGAGCAAACCAUUCUAUUUGCUAUUUACUUUCCUGAUGGUAUCUUCAAGAAACUUCUGGAAAUAGGUCUUUGUGUCAACCAGAAACUGCUGGUCAGAGGAUAAGUUCUGGAGUUUUCUUGUAGAGCAUGGAGACUGCAGUUAAUAAUAACAUAUCAUAUACUUGAAGAUUGCUGAGAGUAGAUUCUAAACAUUAUUAUUUAUUUAUUUUCUUAGUUUUUUCGCCCCACUUCAAUAAGCUAGUCGAAGACAGUAGAUUUUAAAUGUUCUCACCACAAAAAAUGGUUAAGUAUGUGGGAUGAUAAAUAUGUUUGAUUUACUCAUUCCACAGUGUGUACGUAUAUCAAAGUAUCAUGUUGUAAACUAUAAAUAAAUAUCAUUUCUUAUUUGUCAAUUAAAAGUGUAACACACACAUAUGCAUGCACACUAUAUAUAAAUACAUCUUUUAAAACUGCUGGUCAGGAAUCAGACGGCCUCCACGGGUGGUGUCACAGGGCUGCCCCCCGCAGCCUCCCUCAUGGUUCUGAGCCCUCCUCAGUCACUCUUUUGUUUAAUGCUUUAAUCCCUGCUUUAAGUAGGAAGCUUCCCUUCAGCUCAUGGGAGGCCCUUAUCUUACCGGUGGUCAAAUAGAUAUGGGAAACAUUGCCUGCUCUGUUUUUGGUGAUUGGCGGUGCACGUGAGUAUAUUAAAGACUCUAAAAACGCAUUUUUCAGAGCAUGUCUAUGACAGCUUGCAGUGUUGGAUGUGAAUGGCUUCUUCAAUGCCAAUGUGCAAUUAAACGGGAGGAACAGAGAUGCUGUCUUGGGAAGUACAGACACAGGGAGAAAAGAGUCAUGAGGCUGGCUAGUGACGAAGACAACUCAAGAAGACUUUGUGUACACUUGCCACGUUACGUCACGCAAGAUAGGAGUUGUCAAUAAUUUCCAAAUUAAUAUAUUGCACAAAAGGCCUGGGAGUUAUUGUUGCUGUCGACAGCACAGUGUUGGUGAGUGCCCCUCCCUAGCAUGUAAGAUAACAUCUGUCUCGGCCUCUGUAAUUAAGAACAGAUGCGAAUCCAUUUCAACCUUUCCAUGCUCUAGGAGGAAAGGGCUGCCAUGCAAAUGAGUCAAGCAGGCAAGUGUGCACUACAAAUCUUUUCACUUCGGAAGGGCAAAUAUUGAUUUCAAACUUCCUAGAAGUACCUGUUUGAAGCCCUGUCAGUAGCCCAACAGAUUCAGAAAAGAUAUCCUUCCCCGCUUUAGACACCCGACCACCACUUGCCAGAGAACAGUCAUAGAUGUUCAAAUUCCCCAUCACGACCAUGUGAAGGGGCCACUAGAGCUUGCAGUGCACUUGCGACACCUAUGGGCAUGGAAUCUCCAUAUUUUCAAGACAUACCACGGGUGGUUCAUGUUCUGAGGGUUGUCUGAUGGAGGACAUUCUAUCAGCUUUUACUUGGAUCUAUUGAAUGUCCUUUGACGACAAACACUAUUCUCCAAAAAAUUUCCACUUUUUAUUCUCUCUUAAUUCCUUUCUCUCCUCUGUCUGCUGUCAUCUGAUUGAUAAAAAUCCUACUAGCUGCCUGCCCUGUCCUGUCCUAUUCAUAGGGACAGCCACCUACCUCUGUGGGCUUCUCUUCUCCCUCUCCCAGCUGCCUGUCCUGUCCUGGUCCCUUUUUUUUUUUUUUUUUUGAGACAGUGUCUCACUCUGUUGCCCAGGCUGGAGUGCAGUGGCGUGGUCUUGGCUCACUGCAAGCUCCUCCUCCCGGGUUCACGCCAUUCUCCUGCCUCAGCCUCCCACGUAGCUGGGACUACAGGCGCCCGCCAUCACACCUGGCUAAUUUUUUUGUAUUUUUAGCAGAGACAGGGUUUCACCGUGUUAGCCAGGAUGGUCUCCAUCUCCUGACCUCGUGAUCUGCCCGCCUAGGCCUCCCAAAGUGCUGGGAUUACAGGCGUGAGCCACCUUGCCUGGCCUGUCCUGGUCCCUUGAGGUGGCUUUCCUCCCUGAAUCUGCUCCUGUACAGUCCUUAUGGUCCCCUGAUUUGCAUCUUUGCUCCUUCCUCCCCAGGCUGUGGGAACCUCCAAGAGAAGGGAGACGGAGAGCCCUGCUCAGAACAAGUGGCCUAUGAAGCUGUGGCUGGGUCCCCAGGGUCCUCGGCCUUCCUUGUUCAUGGAGGGGGUGUCCUGUGGGUGUGGGGACAGUGGGCUCAGGUGGUCGGGCCAGCAGUGAGGUCUGGCGAGUGAGCUGGUCAAGCAGGCAGAGUAACCAGAGGUGAAGAUGAACGCCAUGGAUUUGGGCACGCAAGAGCUGGCUCCUGGGAAAAUCAGCUAGGGCUGGCAGCUUAAGACAGAAAGGUUCUCCUAAGUCCAGGGAAGGGGGUCAAAGUCCACAAAGCAAGGACCUUGCCCUCACCCUCCCAGUAAGUGACACAUAGAUUAGGUCAGAUACUUGAGCGGGGCUGUGAGACUUAGGCACAUCCCACGUGUGGCAGAUACUGAUGGGGUGAGACGCUGAACCUGGAAUGGAGCUCUAAAUUUGAAUUCCAGUUCAGCAGUAAACUCACCACAUGACCUUGGAAGAGACCGUGCACCUCCCUGAGCCACAGAGCCCUUUACUGCAAGCUGAGGAUAACACCCGUCCUCUGCACCCCAGAAGUGUGUUGGGAGGAGAAAAG